Molecule: non-coding RNA, 305 nt
Organism: Pelobates cultripes (western spadefoot toad)
Lineage: Eukaryota; Metazoa; Chordata; Amphibia; Anura; Pelobatidae
Source: the annotation of a GenBank genome assembly
GUUAAAGAUUGGUUAUGUGCAUUGACUGGUUUGCAUGUGUGAAAUUCAGGUAGAAUGCUCUGUGAUUUGAAUGCUUCCUUGUGUGACAGUUAUAUAUUUUGUUGUCUUUAUGAAUUAUUUGUGGGUUUUUUUAUACUGUUUUAAAUACCUCACAAUAAGUUAAAAGUUUCACUGUUGAAGGUUGGUCCCAAUUUAAAAAUAAAGAGAUGAUCCAGAUCCUUUUGGAACAGUGUCUAAGGGCCAGAUUCUAAGGACCUGUUACAUGGCUGCACUGCUCCAUGGUGUUUGGAAUCAGUUAAAGCAGG